AGUAACCACCAUUUCCUCGGCCCCGGUUUGAGAUACCACCAUUUUCUCGACCCCGGUUUGAGUAACCAUCAUUUUCUCGACCCCAGUUUGAGUAAUCACCAUUUUCUUGAUAGUUUCCAUAUCCACCUCUGCUCCAACCACGUUCCCUCCCUAUACCACGACCUCGUCCUCGCCCAUAUGAAUCUUCAUUACCAGCAUAAUAGACUCCACGUGUUUGUCUUGGAGACUGUUGCUGCAGCUGGGGCUGGUAAUUAUUAUACUGUGGCUUCAUCUGUUCAACCUCAGAAGGAGCAGACCCGCCAUGUUUCAGUGAUUUCAAUCACGUUGUCAACACAAGAGCUG
RNAcentral lists this unclassified non-coding RNA (342 nucleotides) under Hevea brasiliensis (rubber tree). The record is from RNAcentral. Lineage: Eukaryota; Viridiplantae; Streptophyta; Magnoliopsida; Malpighiales; Euphorbiaceae.